CAGCAAUGAUGAUUUCUAUAUAUCCCGAAACUGAGCAUCCAUUGAUGAUAAACUCUUUACGGAUCUGACUUCUGAGUU
Small nucleolar RNA from Doryrhamphus excisus (bluestripe pipefish), 78 nucleotides. RefSeq annotates it as small nucleolar RNA SNORD50. Lineage: Eukaryota; Metazoa; Chordata; Actinopteri; Syngnathiformes; Syngnathidae. The record is from RefSeq and is a predicted model, not a curated record.